UACAGGUGGGCAAGUGGGA
RNAcentral lists this unclassified non-coding RNA (19 nucleotides) under Mus musculus (house mouse). RNAcentral's name for it is "oocyte_clustered_small_RNA6136". Lineage: Eukaryota; Metazoa; Chordata; Mammalia; Rodentia; Muridae. The record is from RNAcentral.